RNAcentral lists this ribosomal RNA (501 nucleotides) under uncultured bacterium. RNAcentral's name for it is "partial 16S ribosomal RNA". It matches the Rfam family "Bacterial small subunit ribosomal RNA", at positions 29 to 523 of the family's 1533-position model. The record is from RNAcentral.
AUUGAACGCUGGCGGCAUGCCUUACACAUGCAAGUCGAACGGCAGCACGGGUGCUUGCACCUGGUGGCGAGUGGCGAACGGGUGAGUAAUACAUCGGAACGUACCUUAUCGUGGGGGAUAACGCAGCGAAAGCUGUGCUAAUACCGCAUACGCCCUGAGGGGGAAAGCGGGGGAUCGAAAGACCUCGCGCGAUUAGAGCGGCCGAUGCCUGAUUAGCUUGUUGGUGGGGUAAAAGCCCACCAAGGCGACGAUCAGUAGCUGGUCUGAGAGGACGAUCAGGCACACUGGGACUGAGACACGGCCCAGACUCCUACGGGGGGCAGCAGUGGGGAAUUUUGGACAAUGGGGGCAACCCUGAUCCAGCAAUGCCGCGUGAGUGAAGAAGGCCUUCGGGUUGUAAAGCUCUUUUGUCAGGGAAGAAACACCGGCUCUAACACAGUCCGGGAAUGACGGUACCUGAAGAAUAAGCACCGGCUAACUACGUGCCAGCCGCCGCCGUAA